This is a long non-coding RNA of Herpailurus yagouaroundi (jaguarundi), 1375 nucleotides long. RefSeq lists it as uncharacterized. The record is from RefSeq and is a predicted model, not a curated record. The transcript has 3 exons. Lineage: Eukaryota; Metazoa; Chordata; Mammalia; Carnivora; Felidae.
AUAUCUCGAGACCACACUGCUGUGAGGAAGCCAAGCCAGCAGCGGGGAGAGGCCACACGGAGAGAGGGAUGUUCAGCCGGGUCCCAGCUCUUCAGCCUUCCCAGCUGAGACGUCAGACGUGACUGAAGAAGGCCAUCUCCUCUCGGGGCAUUCUUCUCCCAGUGGACACCACGUGGGGCAGGAAAACCACCCAGAGGAAACCAGCGCACAUUGCAAAAGAAGAAUAAAUGGUUAUGAGGCAUUGGACAUGGUGAUCCCCUUUUGGGACAAGCUGGCUCCCGCUGUAAACGGAGGACCCUCGAUGUCCCCCAUGGUGUGUGUGACGUAGGACUGCGAGAUUUAGCAAACGGAGAAACGAAACGGAGGGAGGGGCAGCAUUGACGGCUGAGAUGAAUGAUGUCCUGGCCUCACUGUUCCUGGAUGCAGGCCCCCAUCAACUGGGGCAACAUUGAGUGAGGCUCUGCUUCUUGCCACAUGGCACAGGGGCCAGUGAGCAGCCCGUUCCGAGUAGGAUGAUGUAUGUGGACGUGAGGUGAGGGCAUCCCCAAUGUGGGAACUUCUGUCCCGGGCAUGCACGACCCUCCUAGCACAUGGGUCCAUUCACCAACUCGGAAGCUCUCUAAAUUCCUUCGUCUGGGUUUUUAUGGAGGUUCUGUUGCAUAAACAUGGUUGAUUAAGUCCUUGGCCAUUGAUGAGUAACGCAAUCCCCGGUCCUUUCCCCCUCCCCAGAGGCUGGGGGCGGUGGGACUAAAGUUCUAGCCCACUUUUCACAAGCAUUACUUACCUGGCAACACUCCCCCGCUCUGCCCCCAUCUUCCAAGAAUCAGCUCAUUAGCAUAAACUCGGGUAUGACUGAAAGAGGCUAAGUAUGAGUAACAAAAGAUGCUCCUCUUGCCCCAUUCCUCAGGUAAUUCUAAGGGUUUUAAGAGCUUUGUGCCAGGAACCAGGGAACCAGGGACAAAGACCUUGGAUCACGAUAUCACAGCUGGAAUGGAGAGGGAAGUGACAAGGUGACAGUGUGGAUGGCUGGAGAGAGCAGGAGCAGGAGGAAUCAAAUAUGUUGGUGGCACCUCUGUAGUUAUCAGAUAGUGGCACCACUGCCUGGGGGUUUAAUUUCCAAGGAAGCUGGGAGGAGAUGCUGCUCUGAAGAGAAGAGCACUACCUUUCUAGAUGAAUCGAUUUUGAGGUGCAGUCAAAAGAAAAAGUCCAGCGAGUGGCUGAAAAUUCCGUUAAGUUAUAAGAGCCACUAAUAUUUAAUCUGUGCUCACUAUGUAUUUCCUGUUCUAAGAACUUUGCACAUAUUAAUUUCUUUUUUUAUUAACAUUUUUUAAAAUGUUUAUCCAUUUCUGAGAGACCGAGAGAGACAGAGCAUGAG